GAGACGCACUCUUUUUAGAGUGAGCGGCAAACGGGUGAGUAACGACGUGGGAAUCUACCCAUCUCUACGGAAGUAACACAGAGAAAUUUGUGCUAAUACCGUAUACGUCCUAUUGGAGAAAGAUUUAUCGGAGAUGGAUGAGCCCGCGUUGGAUUAGCUAGUUGGUGAGGUAACGGCUCACCAAGGCGACGAUCCAUAGCUGGUCUGAGAGGAUGAUCAGCCACACUGGGACUGAGACACGGCCCAG
RNAcentral lists this ribosomal RNA (247 nucleotides) under uncultured bacterium. Its description in RNAcentral is "partial 16S ribosomal RNA". It matches the Rfam family "Bacterial small subunit ribosomal RNA", at positions 64 to 334 of the family's 1533-position model. The record is from RNAcentral.